This 404-nucleotide ribosomal RNA is filed under the name uncultured Lactobacillus sp. RNAcentral describes it as "bacterial SSU rRNA". It matches the Rfam family "Bacterial small subunit ribosomal RNA", at positions 143 to 525 of the family's 1533-position model. The record is from RNAcentral. Lineage: Bacteria; Bacillati; Bacillota; Bacilli; Lactobacillales; Lactobacillaceae.
GUACCAUUUGGAAACAGAUGCUAAUACCGAUAAAAGCUACUUUCGCAUGAAAGAGUUAAAAGGACGGCGUAAGCUGUCGCUAAAGGAUGGACCUGCGAUGCAUUAGCUAGUUGGUAAGGGUAACGGGCUUACCCAAGGCGAUGAUGCAUAGCCCGAGUUGAGAGACUGAUCGGGCCACGUUGGGGACUGAGACACGGGCCCAAACUCCUACGGGAGGCAGCAGUAGGGAAUCUUCCACAAUGGACGAAAGUCUGAUGGAGCAAACGCCGCGUGAGUGAAGAAGGUUUUCGGAUCGUAAAGCUCUGUUGUUGGUGAAGAAGGAUAGAGGUAGUAACUGGCCCUUUAUUUGACGGUAAUCAACCAGAAAGUCACGGGCUAACUACGUGCCAGCAGCCGCGGUAAAU